GACUUAAGCAUAUCAAUAAGCGGAGGAAAAGAAACCAACAGGGAUUGCCUCAGUAACGGCGAGUGAAGCGGCAACAGCUCAAAUUUGAAAUCUGGCCCUUGGGUCCGAAUUGUAAUUUGUAGAGGAUGUUUUUGGUGCGGUAUCUUCCGAGUUCCUUGGAACAGGACGCCUUAGAGGGUGAGAGCCCCGUACGGUUGAAUACCUAGCCUCUGUAAAACUCCUUCGACGAGUCGAGUAGUUUGGGAAUGCUGCUCUAAAUGGGAGGUAAAUUUCUUCUAAAGCUAAAUACUGGCCAGAGACCGAUAGCGCACAAGUAGAGUGAUCGAAAGAUGAAAAGCACUUUGAAAAGAGGGUUAAAUAGCACGUGAAAUUGUUGAAAGGGAAGGAUUUAUGACCAGACUUUUUCUGGGCGGAUCAUCCGGUGUUCUCACCGGUGCACUUCGUUCAGUUUAGGCCAGCAUCGAUUUUCGGUGGGGGAUAAAAGCUUUAGGAAUGUGGCUCCUCCGGGAGUGUUAUAGCCUAUUGUAUAAUACCCUGCUGGGGAUCGAGGUACGCGCUUCUGCAAGGAUGCUGGCGUAAUGGUUAUCAAUCACCCGUCUUGAAACACGGACCAAGGAGUCGAACAUUUGUGCAAGUGUUUGGGUGUUAAACCCUCACGCGUAAUGAAAGUGAACGGAGGUGAGAGCCCUUACGGGUGCAUCAUCGACCGAUCCUGAUGUUUUCGGAUGGAUUUGAGUAAGAGCAUAACUGUUCGGACCCGAAAGAUGGUGAACUAUGCGUGGAUAGGGUGAAGCCAGAGGAAACUCUGGUGGAGGCUCGCAGCGGUUCUGACGUGCAAAUCGAUCGUCAAAUCUGCGCAUGGGGGCGAAAGACUAAUCGAACCAU
RNAcentral lists this ribosomal RNA (885 nucleotides) under Discosia italica. RNAcentral's name for it is "eukaryotic LSU rRNA". It matches the Rfam family "Eukaryotic large subunit ribosomal RNA", at positions 31 to 943 of the family's 3401-position model. Lineage: Eukaryota; Fungi; Ascomycota; Sordariomycetes; Amphisphaeriales; Sporocadaceae. The record is from RNAcentral.